UACGUAGGGCGCAAGCGUUGUCCGGAAUUAUUGGGCGUAAAGAGCUCGUAGGCGGUUUGUCGCGUCUGCUGUGAAAACCCGAGGCUCAACCUCGGGCCUGCAGUGGGUACGGGCAAACUAGAGUGCGGUAGGGGAGAUUGGAAUUCCUGGUGUAGCGGUGAAAUGCGCAGAUAUCAGGAGGAACACCGGUGGCGAAGGCGGAUCUCUGGGCCUUACCUGACGCUCAGGUGCGAAAGCUAGGGGAGCGAACAGG
RNAcentral lists this ribosomal RNA (253 nucleotides) under uncultured bacterium. RNAcentral describes it as "partial 16S ribosomal RNA". It matches the Rfam family "Bacterial small subunit ribosomal RNA", at positions 524 to 776 of the family's 1533-position model. The record is from RNAcentral.